AUCUUGCAAAAAACGGAGAAUUAGAUGGAGAUCUCAACCAUAGAAUACAAGCUGGAUGGAUGAAGUGGAAGAGUGCAUCCGGCAUGUUAUGUGACCGCCGUAUGCCACUGAAGCUCAAGGGAAAAUUUUAUAGGACGGCAAUAAGGCCGGCGAUGCUGUAUGGCACAGAAUGUUGGGCGGUGAAACAUCAACACGUACACAAAAUGGGUGUAGUGGAGAUGAGGAUGCUUCGUUGGAUGUGUGGGCACACGAGAAAGGAUAAGAUUAGGAAUGAGGAUAUCCGGGGUAAAGUAGGAGUAGCCGAAAUUGAAGGAAAGAUGAGAGAAAAUCGGUUACGGUGGUUUGGACAUGUGCAAAGAAGGCCUACUGACGCUCCGAUUAGAAGAUGCGACUAUGGGACAGAGGUUCAGAGCCGAAGGGGUAGAGGAAGACCUAGGAAAACUUUGGAAGAGACUCUAAGAAAAGACUUAGAGUACUUGGAUCUAACGAAGGACAUGACACAGGAUCGAGCACAAUGGCGUUCUAAGAUUCAUAUAGCCGAUCCCACUCAGUGACUUGGAUUUUCCAAGUCUCCAACCGAGAAGUUUUCCUCACUCGGGAAAUUAAGGGAACACUACCCCAACCUACAUGCUCCACUCAGAAAGCUUCAACAUACAAGCUUCAACAAAAGAAAAUUCAAAGAACUUAGCGAAGAAGGCUUUGGUGUAUUUAACACAAUACGUUGAAAUGAAGGAAAGCUUAUUUAUUGAUAUCCCCGAUAAGCUACAAAUAUGUACAUAUACAUGAGUCAAAAUAAACACACAAGAGGGAGCCUUCACAAAGGUUGCUUAGGAGAAGUCUCAGUAGUCGGUAGAGCCCCAGAAAGAGAAGGCACCGGAGGGGGAUCAUUUGGAGCCUCAGUACUGGACAGAACCCUAGAAGGAGGAGGCAUCAGAGGUUGAUCAUUUGGAGCUUCAUUACGCGGUACAGCCCCCAGAAGACGAAGGCAAUAAAUGCCUUUGGAACAAACCCACAAAUCUCUGAUGAUCAAGUAAAACCUGACCAUCAGUUUCCUUCAUCUGGUCAAGCUUCCUCUUCAUGUUUGUAGCAUAGUCAUGUGCGAGCCGGUGCAACUGUUUAUUCUCAUGCUUGAGCCCUCUAAUCUCCUGUUUGAGACUCAUCACUUCAGCCGCCAAUGAUUCAACUUGGCGGGUUCGAGCAAAUAGGCGUUGGGCCAUAUUAGACACAGAACCUGCACACUGAACACUGAGAGCCAGCGAAUCCUUAACAGCUAACUCAUCAGACCGUUUGGAAAGUAGUCUGUUAUCUUUGGGAGUGAGAAGGUUCCUGGCCACCACCGCAGCGGUCAUAUCAUUCUUCAUCACGGAAUCCCCAACGGUAAGAGGACCAGUAAGGGAGACGAAGGAUGGGCGCCAUAUGUUGUCUGGAGAAGGCGGGGCUGCCUCUUCAACAAGGUUCAAGUCAAAACGACGGUCGGAGGGGCCAGACAUUUUCAAAGGUGUUGAAGAGAGAAGAGGUCGGACAAAUCAAGAUCUUAGAAGUGCAAGAAUGAAGCUUCUACUGGUGGAGAUUCAAGUGUGCUUUGGAACUUAAUGCCAGCCCCUAUAAAAAAUCUGCACUCGACGGAGCUUCAGAAAUCGAAGAGGCGCCUGCUCAGAAAUCGAAGAGGCGUUUGCUUUCUCAAAAGCUGGGCUGCUUAGAGAUCACGAGGGUUGAUCUCAGAAAUCGAAAAGGCGUUUGCUUUCUCAAAAGUUGGGCUGCUCAAAGACCUCGAAGGCUGAUCUCAGAAAUCGAAGAGGCGCUCGCUUUCUCAAAAGCUGGGCUCCCCAGAGACCACGAGGGCCGAUCUCAGAAAUCGAAGAGGCACCUACUUUUCCAGCCUUGUCAGCACCUGUCACACGCACACUCAGCUUUGCGGAAAUUAUGGGCAGUCUGUCGAAGACUUCUGGGGAAGUAGAAAACACAUGAAUCUUACUGUUCAAUCACCCACUUCCCACACGCAACAAUAGCUCAUGGGUACCACAGAUAACUUUGCCAAAGUUCUCUGCCAAAGUUGAGCACGUGAAGCUUGCAGCUCCCACUACAUCGCUCUGACCAAGAAGGGUAAAAGAAUAGCAAAGAAACAGCACUAACAAAGUUUAUACCCAUAAAUUUUGAAGGUCUAGCUACCAUAUUAUUACCCACAAGGGUAAAGGAAUAGUACCACUGCUGGAUAAUUGGAAAGUCCCUGUGUGUCAACCUCUGUGCUUCGUGGCAAGGUAGACUAGCAAACAUGCCCAACCUUUACUCACAUUCGAGAAAACACUCCCAAUAAGAUUGCUUGCUCCAAAAUCGAAGAGGCACCGUCCUCCGAAUCUCGAGAGCCAGACUCCCAACAUGACUACUUUCUUAAAAAUCGAAGAGAGGGUAAAGGAACAGUACCAUUGCUGGAUAAUUGGAAAGUCCCUGUUGCUUCGUGGCAAGGUAGACUAGCAAACAUGCCCAACCUUUACUCACAUUCGAGAAAAUACUCCUAACAAGAUUGCUUGCUCCAAAAUCGAAGAGGCACCGCCCUCCGAAUCUCGAGAGCCAGACUCCCAACAUGAUUACUUUCUCAAAAAUCGAAGAGACACUGCUCCCCGAAUCUUCGAGAGCCAGACCCCCAGCAUGAUUGCUUUCUCAAAAAUCGAUGAGGCAUCGUUCUCCGAAUCAAUCGAAGAGGCGCUCGCUUUCUCAAAAGCUGGGCUGCUUAGAGACCACGAGGGCCGAUCUCAGAAAUCGAAGAGGCACCUACUUUUCUAGCCUUGUCAGCACCUGUUACACGCACACUCAGCUUUGCAGAAAUUAUGGGCAUUCUGUCGAAGACUUCUGGUGAAGUAGAAAGCACAUGAAUCUUACUGUUCAAUCACCCACUUCCCACACGCAACAAUAGCUCAUGGGUACCACAGAUAAAUUUUGCCAAAGUUCUCUGCCAAAGUUGAGCACGUGAAGCUUGCAACUCCCACUACAUCGCUCUGACCAAGAAAGGUAAAAGAAUAGCAAAGAAACAGCACUAACAAAGUUUAGACACAUAAAAUUUUGAAGGUCUAGCUACCAUAUUAUUACCCACAAGGGUAAAGGAACAGUACCACUGCUGGAUAAUUGGAAAGUCCCUGUUUGUCAACCUAUGUGCUUCGUGGCAAGGUAGACUAGCAAACAUGCCCAACCUUUACUCACAUUCGAGAAAACACUCCCAACAAGAUUGCUUGCUCCAAAAUCGAAGAGACACCGUCCUCCGAAUCUCGAGAGCCAGACUCCCAACAUGACUACUUUCUCAAAAUCGAAGAGAGGGUAAAGGAACAGUACCAUUGCUGGAUAAUUGGAAAGUCCCUGUGUGUCAACCUUUGUGCUUCGUGGCAAGGUAGACUAGCAAACAUGCCCAACCUUUACUCACAUUCGAGACAACACUCCCAUCAGAUUGCUUGCUCCAAAAUCGAAGAGGCACCGCCCUCCGAAUCUCGAGAGCCAAACUCCCAACAUGAUUACUUUCUCAAAAAUCGAAGAGACACUGCUCUCCGAAUCUCGAGAGCCAGACCCCCAGCAUGAUUGCUUUCUCAAAAAUCGAAGAGGCAUCGUUCUCCGAAUCUCGAGAGCCAGAUACCACAGACCACUUUUUCAAAGUGCUCUGACAGAGUUAAAACAUGUGAAACUGGCAGCUCCCACUACCGUGCUAUGACCAAGCAGGGUAAAGGAAUAACAUUACUACUUCUUAGGGAGACUCCUAUAUAUGUCGACCUCCAUCCCCAACAGACAGGCAGACCUGCAAAAAUGCUCAACCCUUCAUCAUAUCUGAGAGGGCACUCCCAACGAAGCCUUUCGAAAUAUUCAGCUUUCCUUCCCCCCGAUAAUACCUCUGCAAACAAGCUAUACUAGAGCAAGAAUAUCUCAUAUCAUCAGGGUUAAAAGCAAGAGUAUCCCAUAUCAUGCUUUUUCCCUGUCUUUUCCUUUGGCCUUGUUUUUACCUGCAAGACAAGGAGAAAGAGAGCAAUCAGUCAGCACUUGGAAUCAAGCUUCCAGCCAGGAACUGACUGCCUGGAACCCCUUACCUGAUUACUUACCUGGCAUUGCUCUCGAGUACUCAUCUUCAACAUCUUAUAUUUCCAGGGAAGAUUCCGCAUCUGCUUGAGGAACAGAUAGGGCAAGUGCGAAGGAUACAAGGAAGCAUGUGGAGACAAGCGUACCAGCACACGUGCCGAUACAUCCAUUACGCUGUCAAAAGCAAAAGUAUCCCAUAUCAGCAGGGUGGAACGUACUCUAGAUUUGAUGGACUUGUUUUGACCCUCAAAUUCUUCAGUCGGCCUUAUACUCUGGAGGAAACCAGAAAACCCUCCAGCUCAGUUCAAGAAUAAGCCUGUGGAAAGUUACUUCUUCAAAAGCAAAAGUAUCUCAUAUCAUCUCUUCUCAUUUUUCUUCUCUUUAUCCUUCAUGCUGCUGCAAGAUGGGGAGAAGGUGAACAAUCAGUUAGAGCUCUGAUUGCUUACCUUGUCUGUCACCUCUUUCAGCAGACCCCCUAGCUCGGCGACUUGGGGGACUCCUACUACAUGGUUUGUAUCGCGCUUGACCAAGCCUGAAACUACAAGUAAGCUUCAAGUGAAAUUGAUACAUUACCUUGUGCAUCUCCACCAGUUAAAGAUACCACCCCUGGAUGGAGGAAGAGUACUUCCAGAGAAGAUGCCACAUCUACCUAUGAGACAGAUAAGGCAAGUCAAGACGACACCACACUCCGAUACUUAGAAGUUUCGUGAUUACGAGAUCAUUCUCCCACAAUAUUUCCUAAUGUCAUUUGUACUAAAUCAUUCACUUGUACUCACUAAAGGAGAGCUUGAACCUAUGUACUUGUGUAAACCCUUCACAAUUAAUGAGAACUCUUCUAUUCCGUGGACGUAGCCAAUCUGGGUGAACCACGUACAUCUUGUGUUUGCUUUCCUGUCUCUAUCCAUUUAUAUAUUUAUCCAUGCUAAUGACCGGAGCAAUCUAGCGAAGAUCACAAAAAGCGACCGUUUUCACUACCUAGGAUCUAUCUAGCAAGAGAACGGAGAAUUAGAUGGAGAUCUCAACCUCGUAGGCCACUGAAGCUCAAGGGAAAAUUUUAUAGGACGGCAAUAAGGCCAGCGAUGUUGUAUGACACAGAAUGUUGGGCGGUGAAGCAUCAACACGUACACAAAAUGGGUGUAGCGGAGAUGAGGAUGCUUCGUGGGAUGUGUGGGCACACGAGAAAGGAUAAGAUUGGGAAUGAGGAUAUCCGAGGUAAAGUAGGAGUAGCCGAAAUUGUAGGAAAGAUGAGAGAAAAUCGGCUCCGGUGAUUUGGACAUGUGCAAAGAAGGCCGAAUGACGCUCCGGUUCGAAGAUGUGACUACGGGACAGAGGUUCAGGGCCGAAGGGGUAGAGGAAGACCUAGGAAAACUUUGGAAGAGACUCUAAGAAAAGACAGUACUUGGAUCUAACGGAGGACAUGACACAAAACCGAGCGCAAUGGCGUUCUAGGAUUCAUAUAGCCGACCCCACUUAGUGGGAAAAGGCUUUGUUGUUGUUGUUGUUGUUGUUGUGCAGUGAAAGUGACUAAAAAUCAUUGUUCUAAAAAUCGGCGGCACUAGACGACUGGUCAUUACUCUAAUCAAUUUUUAGACGUUUGAAAAUUAAGAAAUGACGUUUAAACCUGUUUAGGCAUCUGUCCUGCCUAACCAACGUCGACCUAGCCUGCCUCGGUUGCAACUCUCACUUAUACAAAAAAUCGAUAACUUUCAUUUUGCAUUUUAUUUUUUCAAUAAAAUGUAAUAGACUUGUUGAAAACUCUAACGAACAUUCAUUAUAUAUUUAUUCCCAUGUUCUCAAUAUGUUUUAAGGAAAACUAACGAAAAAUCUAAAAAAACUUUAGUUUUAAUGAAAAAUAACAAAUAAAGGUGUAGUGAAUAGUACCACAGAAAGGUAAAAAUGUGGUUUUUCAUUAAAAGUGAAUAAUACCGAGAGUGUUUUGUUAAAACUCCCUAUGUUUUAAUACCAUAUAAUUUAUAGUUCAUUUUAUUUUUCAAUUUAUGUCUCCCAGUAAAAUUAGGUAUUUUUUUAUUUUUUUUGGCUAAAUAGCCAAAAUGGUCCCUGAGAUUUGCAUAAAUCAUCACUUUGGUCCCUAACAUUUCAAAUCAAUAAAAGUGGUCCUUGAGAUUGCCCAUCAUCCAUCAUUUUGGUCAUUCUCUUAAAAACUCCGUUAAGUGUCCCGGAACUCUUGACUGGAAGUUUGAGCAAUUUUCAAAGCUUCGUAACUCAAUCGUUUCUUAACUAAAUUUGACCCAUAAUAUAUCAAAAUGAAGAUAGGAAAGUGUAGAAUAAGAUUAUACCUAUUUGGAAGCCCAAUGGUUGCCAGAGAUGGCCGAAAAAUAUUCUCAAAGUUGACUGGUUUUAGGGAAAACUGGAAAACUCGUUGGAAACUGGGUAAAUUUUAAACGUUCAUAACUUCUUCAAUACUCAACAAAAUCAAGUGAUUCAAAAACUAAAAUCAUACUUCUCGACAAGAAGAAGAGAAUGGUACCUUUUUUGACUGCUAACUCGCCAUGGUUUGGCCGUAAAAUGGCUCGAAAGUGGAUGUCUUGGUCUAUAAGACAGCCACUUUCGAGCCGUUUUCCGGACAAACCAUGGUGAUUUAGCCAUCUAAAAAGGUACCAUUCUCUUCAUGUCAUUGAGAAUUAUGAUUUUAGUUUUUGAAUCACUUGAUUUAAAGUUUACCCAGUUUCUAGCGAGUUUUCCAGGUUUCCCUAGGACCAGUCAACUUUGAGGCUAUUUUUCGGCCAUGUCUGGCAACAAUUGGGCUUGAAAAUAGAUAUAAUCUUAUUCUACACUUUCCUAUCUUCAUUUUGAUUUAUUAUGGGUCGAAUUUGGUUAAGAAACGAUUGAGUUACGAAACUUUGAAAAUUGCCCAAACUUCCGGCCAAGAGCUCCAGGACAUUUAACGAAGUUUUUAAAGGAAGGACCAAAAUGAUGGAUGGUGGACAAUCUCAGGGACCACAUUUGUUGAUUUGAAAUGUUAGGGACCACAGUAAUGAGUUAUGCAAAUCUUAGGGACCAUUUUGGCUAUUUAGCCUUUUUUUUAAAAUCCACCUAAUCUACUCAGGCCCCCACCUAGGUCCCGCUCAACCGCCUAGGCGCUAGGCCCUAGCCUGCCGGCCGACUAGCACCUUGCGUCUUUUAGAAUCUUGCUAAAAAUUAUAAAGAAUUAGUAUAAGUUUACACAACGAAAGGAACAUAACAAAAAUGAAAGUAAAGAAAAUUUAGGAUGUAAUAAAUAAUAUCUUUUUGUGUGUGUGUGUGUGUAAUGUAUAGAUUAUAAGUAUACAUGUAUAACAACUAUGCGGUGAAUGAGAAUACGAACAUGGACAAAGGCGAAGUUUUAAAAGGCUGUGCAAUAUAAUGGAAUGACAUUGACUGGGUGUGGAUUUAUGAAGUCCUAAACGGAUGCUCUGUAGCUUUGGUUGUAGAAUCAUAAUAGCUUUGGUUGCAAAACCUGGAAUUGAUGUGAUUGUAGAAAGAUCUAAAUAUAUAUAAGGUGUGUUUUUUUUUUUAGAAAAAAAAAUGUUUGAUGAUGAAAGACUGUUUUCGUGAUAUGAGAAUAUACAUUUUUUUCAUUUCAUAUAUUUCGUUCACCGAGAUGACAUGAUUUGAUAGUAUGUUAUGUGUUUUUUUUUUUUUUUUUAAAGAUUUUGUUGCGAAUAUUUUACAGUAUAUGUUUUGAAUAAUUUUCAGGAAAGUAAACCUUAGAUUUGAAUGGUCUGUCGUUGCAGAAUUCCUCUUUAAAUCGUCUGUCGUUGAGACACUUUCAUUGCAAGGGCAACUGAGAAGCUUUCGGAGGCUGCUGCAGCUUACAUUGAGGUUCCUUCAUUGUGUUGUAUUUGGAUUUUGUUAUUUUAGAAAUAUCUUUUCAGGAAAAAAGAAAUUUGUUGUUUGUGCAUUUUUUUUUUCUGAACACGUUUUCGUCAUGUUUUCCUGGAAUGAGAAGGCACAGAAAAUUAAGGCAGGGAAGCAACAGCAGGUACAAAUGGAGCAGCUACAGCUAUUGGGGCAGCGCGGUAAAUUCUCAUAUCUGUUUCAUCAUGUCUUCCUCUCUUCAUUACAUUCCGAAUCUUCAAAAUCCUUACCGAUUCGUGUAAGUUCUAAUAUAUUUUUCUAUGUUUUUUUGAUUUUGGUUUCCAGGGUUACAAUCUCAAUCAACAAGAUGCAAAACGAGGAGGGAAUCAUCACCCAGCUCUAGAUCCCGAGAAAAUGGUAUUCAAUCGAAUCUAAUAUUGUGUUAUUAGGCAGCAACAUGUCUACAGGUUACAUCUCUAUUAUGUUAAAAUGAUUUUGUCUAUUGUUUUACAUUCAAUUAUUUACUGAAGUUUUUCUGUACUGAAUAUCAUCAUUGAUUUUAAACGAUUGUUAUUCCAUAGAAGCUUACUUUUCUUUGAUAUCAAGAUUUUCUGAUAAAAUGGUAAAAAGUUGACUUGCAUUUGACAAACAAUUGUCAUCAUUAUAGCAGUACAACGCUCAUCGACAUGAUCGUCCCAAUACAUUAUUUUUUUUGUUUUGUGCUUUGGCAAUUUGACUCAUCUUAUCUUGCCAAAAGAUGCAUGUGAGUUUUAAGGAUUCAGGGAUCCUCUUCUCUCCAGAUUACUGGAUCGGGCCUUACCUCCAUGUGUUGUUGAGUCUAUUGAAAGUUGGUAUGCAUGAGAAGUUUAAGUAAUACUUGCCAUAAAAAGUAGAAGUGAUGACUGACAAGGAAUUGAUUAUCUCAUCAGCAACUUCAUUUUUAUCUAAGAACGAAUUUGAUACAUGUAGAUGUAUAUAGGUUAAAUUGAUUGUUAAGAUGACAAUUUAAUCACUUUUCAAUAUCUUAUAUCUCCAUCUCCCAGUUCUGAUUUUUACUUACUUGAAAUAAAUAGAUUCUAGGAAUCUCAUUUAGCAAAAUAAGCAAUGGAUAGUGCAAACGGUUUUUUCUUACAUUCACAACAAUAUAGGCACUUCUAUUUUUUUAGCAAUAUAGUGCUUAGCUUAAAGUCAGAAUGUUAACCAAAUGUAUUCAAUUUGUUCGACUAACCAUUGUUCUAUUAAUAGUUCAUUUAAUCUAAGGUCAAAUGGGUAGAUCUUGCUCCAUAUACUGAGUUAGUAUAGGUUACCUAGAAGAGUGCCGCUAUGAAUGGUUGCUCUCGUGCGAUCGACUUUCAUACAUUAAUGCAUGGUGAAAUUGGCUUAAGGACUUACAAGUCAUUUGCUGUCAUGCACCGAUCUAGACAUACGGUCUACUGUAGGAGGUGCAAGGAAAAUAAUUGAAAUACUGAGACUAAAAUUAACAACAUUUGCAAUAACUCAGGUUCCAACAAGAAAGUUCAAAGGAAAUACAAGAUAAGAAAUAGGGAGCACUCCAAACUUUGAACUCUGACUCCUAACCCAAGAACUCCUCGCAUCAACUAAGCUUUGUCACCUGCACAAUUGCCCCUACACCAUGGGAAUGGUGCACCGGGUAAAGUAAAAACUCAAAUAAGUUGAGAAGUUCGUGUGAGGGACAAUAAUCCGACUUAUUUGGUAAUCAUAAAAUAUUUUUAUCGACCACAACUUAUACACAUCAAUCAUAAAAGCAUACUUUAUAAAUCAUAAUCAAAUCACUGAAAAUUCUGAAGAAGUCACGCAAACAUUCAUUGGCCUUUCUAAAUCAAAGGUCCUCGAAUUUCUGAUUCAUAAAUACAAUGAAAACUAUUGCUAGAGCGACACAGUUCUGCUGAAGACUACAUCUCCUAAUUUUUCACGUUCUAGAAUCAUUUCAAAAACCAACGAAGCCAAGAGAAGCGAUUUUGGGCUACUCAACGAAAUCCAAAGUACAUUGGGUUCUAGAUCAAUCAACGGAACCAAACGGAUACAAUUCCGAGCCACUCAACAGAAUCGUGAAGUAGAAGGGAUUACUGAUCACUCAACGGAAUCCGAACAGGAUACGAUUCCGGACCACUCAGCAGAAUCGUGAAGUACAAGGGAUUCUAAACCACUCAACAGAAUCCAAACGAAAACAUAUGGAUGGAUCUCAAACCACUCAGCAGAAUCAAUACAGAGCAGGGAACUAGACCACUCAACGGAACUCUAGCUAAACCUGAUUCUGGACCACUCAACGGAACCGAGCAUAAUCCAAGGAAACAGUUUCAAACGGCUCAAUGAAAUAAGACAUGACACUUUCAAUGCAACGAUUCCCCAUGUCAAUGGGGUUAUCAGUCCUCUACUAACCCUCAAGUUCAUAAACAUUUCAAAUAUGCAGGUCAAAUCACAUUUCAUGAAAAUAUAGAUCGAUGGAAAACUAUGAAAGCAAUAAUAUUUAGUAGAAAAACACAUUUAUAAAUUCAUGUCAUAUCCACAAAAUAUACUAACAUGAGGAUUUCAUGGGUAAUCACCAUAUUACAUAUAUUAAAGUCACUCACUUGAAGUCCGCACUACGGCUUCCUAGCACGCCACUUGUUUGAUAAAAUAACUGUGACCACUAUCUUGAACCGUCGUGCUCAGUAUCAGACAUACCUGCGAUUUGGGUAUUGCCAUUUGAGUGCUUCAGUAUCCAAAAAGUAGCUAUGAAGUAUGUUGAGUAUUAUUUGCUUCGAACAUCCUUCAAUUGUUCCCUUAGUUGUUGUUUUUUGGUUGUUUAUCAUAGACACAGUUGUUUUUUAGUUGUUUUUUGGUUGUUUAUCAUAGACACAGUUGUCUAUCAUAGACACAGUGGCUAUUAAGUUGAUUGUAUUGAUAUUUUCAGGUGAUGUGGAGAUGCGCUGGGUUGAUGCAUAUUUCCCAUUUACCGACCCAUCAUUUGAACUUGAGAUGUUUUUCAAUGUAUGCUACUGAGUUCGAUCACUUUGAGGGGAAAAAAAGCAUUUCAAGUCUCUCCUGUUAUGUCAUUCUGUUAGAGGUUCUUUCUUUUUCAUGGACGGUACCUAAGAGUAAUCCAUUAUGCAGAAGAAUGUAGUAUUUCCUUACUACGAACAAGUAAUAACUAACCAGAAUGGUACACACUCAAGUAAGACAAGAUAAAAAUUAGUGUACGGAAUAUUGAUUGUUGGAUAGAGACUAUCAUGAAACAAGUUUACUGCCACCAUGAUGCCUGUGGUCACUCAAGGUCAUGUGCAAGACUCGUUACAUUGCCUUGUAUAAGUGGCUCGCAAGUCCAGGGUGACAAUGAACCGUUCCACCUAAGUUAAGGUUAAGCACAAAGACAACAUAUCUCAUAACUAUGACAUCCAAAAUGUAGGGUUCAAGAUGAAGUUGAAAUUCAUAACAACAAAAGAGGUUCUUAGGAUGAUGCCCUUUAUGAGGGUGAUCAAAAUAACAAGUGGAGGACAUGGGCAUCAUUAAAUUUGCAGGCCUUUUUUCAUCUGCCUUCAAUAUUCAGAUUCAUGUUUGGUAGUAUUCGUGGUGAAAUACUCAGCUUCAACAACUACAUCCAUCCGGCUACUUUCUUAUUUUUCGACUUGAACUGAUCCUUGGAAAUUGAUUGCUUUCCCUAAAACAAAGACAGAAAAACAGAGAAGAAUAACACGCGUAUAAGUUAUGCAGAUGACAGACCUGAUGGAGCAGAAAGAAACUCACAACCAACAGAAAACUUGCUCACCUGGUGAAAAGGUGCAAUCAGCAGUUUCUCUACCGCGGAAAAUGACUACAUCAAUUAAAUGUUCGGUAUUAUUGAUCAACAUGAAAACACACACAUCACCGAUUUCCAGACCAUUGUCUUGCACAAAUGUCAUCCAGCCACUCUGGAAUUUCAGUACAGUUUUGCUAUAUUGGUGUAAUUUGACAGGCCAAGUUCUUCCACCCGAAACACGAAGAAUCACAUUAUCAUGAGUCCUGUUUAGAAGAUGUUCCCGGGCAAACUUAGCUUCCAAAUUCUGAAAUAGAAAGAGAAGCAGGUAAGACUAAAUUUUUGGAGUAUUUAGAACGUAAUUUUCUUUAGCUUAAUAGUUUUCAUUUCAUACUAGCAGAAGUUGUACAUGAUCUGUCUCUCUAGAAAGCUUACCAAAGUAUUUGCCUGGAUAUACGAGGGACGCAUAACAACCAUGCAACAAGGGUAUUCAGAUUUGAAAGCCCUUGCUCUCUGAAGAGCUCUAUUUGUUCCGCUUUCUGUAAGUGGAUUCAUCAUCCUAGGAACCUGAUUAGGUCUUCGUUUUACUAAUUCUUUAGUACAAGACGAGCCACCAAACUUCUUCAUGUGGUUUUCUGAAGUGCUAAUGGAACCUGCUCUGUUUUUCUUGUGAGGCUGUGUUGCAAUUGGUGAUUUUUUCUUUGUUUUCAGGCAUGGUGGAGAAUCGUCCAAGAUUUCAACACAACCAUCAUCUUCAUCAGUUUCUUCAGUUUCGGACAUUGUUUUUUCACCAUCAACGUCUGCAAGCACCCGCAAAAGAUUAAGGUGACAGGUAGUUAAUCUCUACGGCAAUUCCAUCAACUAAUCAGUUCAGAAAUUAAUAGACAACUUACCUUGUGACAGGUUCCAACGUGCAGCUUCUGUAGUGCGGAAAAUAACAACAUCCAUUAAACCUUUGAUGUUGUUAAUCAACGCAAAUACACACACAUCACCAAUUUCCAAAUGAUUGUCUUGCACAAAUGUAAUCCAACCAUUCUGGAGUCGGACCAUGUUUUUCUGACGUUUGCUUAAUUUGACAGGCCAAGUUCUUCCAUCCGAAACACGAAGGAUUACUUGAUGAUAAUUCCACUUAAGAAAGUGUUCCUUGGUAAACUUGGCUCCCAAAUACUGAAAAGAAAGAGAAUCAGGUAAUUUGGAGAGGAUUUGCGUUGUAAUUUGUUUGAGCUUAAUUUUCAGUUUGAAAACUAACACACACAUAUAUGUAGACAUAAAAUUAGCAGAACUUGUACAUUAUGUCUCUCUAUAAAAAGCUUACCACAUAAUGUGCAUGGAUAUACGAGGGACUCAUAACAACUGUGCAAGAAGGGUAUUCAGAUUUGAAAGCCUUUGCUCUCUGAAGGGCUCUAUUUGUACCAUGUGCCGUAACUGGGUUCAUCUUCCUAAGAACUUGAAGAGUUCUUCGGUUCAUUAUUUUUUUAGUCAAAGACGAGCCACCAAAUUUCUUUAUGCGGUUUUCUGCUGUGCUAACUGAACAUGUUCUGUUUUUCUUGUGAGGCUGUGGUGCUAUUGGUGAUUUCUUCUUUGUUUUCGGGCAUGUUGGAAAAUCGUCCAAGAUUUCAAUGGAAUCAUCAUCUUCAUCAGUUUCUUCCAUUUGGGACAUUGUUUGUUCCCCGUCAACAUCUGCGAGCACAUCACAAAAGAUGAACGUGAUGGAUUGUUAAUCUCUAUGGCACUUCCAUCAAUUAAUCAGUUCAGAAAUUAAAAGACAACGUACCUGGUGGUGAGAAUGUAUGUGCAGUUUCUGUGGCGCGAAAAAUGACAACUUCAAACUCAAGUUUAGUGUCAUCUAUCAACACAAGUACACACACAUCACCAACUUCCAAAUUAUUGCCUCUUACAAAUUCAGUCCAGCCAUACUGCAGUCUGAGUUUUGGUCUGGUUGCCUUUUCACAUUUCAUUUCAACAGACCAAGUUCCCCCAUCCAAAACCCGAAGGGUAAUGGCACCAGGAUGCUUACCGAGACGUCUCAUGUGGAUACACAAUUUUGAAGGCAGCCACUGAAAAUAAUCAAAUGAAGGAAAAGACGAUAAGCAAACAAAUUUGACGGUCCAUGAUGGUUGUCUAUAGAGAACUUACCACAGAAUAUCCAUUGAUAUAAGUGCGCUUCAUGGGAACUAUGAAAGAAGGGUUGUCAGAUUUGAAAGCUGUAGCUCUCCGAAGAGCUACAGCAGCUUUUCCUCUUGCAUUCGACGCAUGCAUCCUCCCAAGAACUGUUUGAGCUCGUUUUGGAGUGCUGGACGUGCCUUCACCGUGUCUUUUGGAUGCAAACUCAGCUUUGCAUGUCAAAGAACACAGUAGGAUAUUAAAAGUUAGAACAGAAUGGCAGAAAGCACAAUAAGGUAAAAAAUCGGAAGCUAAACAUAUGUUGCGUAUUAAUGUUUCAAUUUUUAUUUCUGAUUUUUAUUGACUUCUUAAACAUCAUUUCGUAAUGUAAUCAGAGUAUUUUUUUGGUUUCUGGUUUUACCUGUUGAACUUGUUCUGUGCUUCUUACGAGGCUGAGGACAUGACAAUGGAUAUUUGUCCCUUGUUUUUCUUGAGCGGGACAUGAUGUUGUCCAAGACUUCAACACAAUCAGAGUCGUCAUCAUCAUCCCAAGAACUAUUGUCGGAAUCAUCAUCUUCAUCGGUUUCUUCCAUCUCGGGCAUUGUCAAUGGAUAGUUGAUCUCUGUGAAAUCCUUGUCAAAUACACUAACGCGGAAUGUUGAAUUCCCUUCAUAUCCGAAAACUAACGAAUGACAGCAGUCUAGAGAGCAAAACUUCGAGAACUUUGGCCAACCCUCGCCGAACCAGACCUCACCCUCCCAUAUUCUGAGUUCUAUUUUCCACUCUGAACCAGUUGGAAGCUUAAGAAAUACUGGAUUCGAAAGAUCAUCUCCAUAUUUCCUAAAAAAUUUGUUUGGAAUCCUCUGCACAACACAGAAACUUGUCACCAAACUGUUCGUAUAGUGAAAACAAUUAUCUGAUUUUUGUGGCUAUGAAAUAUAUGGGUACAUUAACUGCAUCAAAUCCUAUUAAGUCAGACUCUUCAUUGUGAGAGGGGUUAAAUAAUUGAGAGUUUUAACAAAACACUUCCGGUACUGUUCAUUUUUAACGAAAAACCACAUUUAUACAUUUCCUGUACUAUUCAUUAUACCUUUAAAAAUGACUUUUCUUUAAAAGGGAAGUUUUCUUAGAUUUUUCGUUAGUUUUCCUUAAAUACUUUGGUGCCGUUUGAUAACCAUUUCAUUUUCAGCUUUCAGAAAACCAAAAACUAACAACUUAAAAGCUAAAUUUUGAGAACUAAAAAGAGUAAGGAAUGUUUGAUAAUCAUUUCGUUUUUUGUUUCAAACUAAUCUCCAAAAUCAAGCACGGACAUUAAAGAGAGAGAGAGAGAGAGAGAGAGAGAGAGAGAGAGAGAGAGAGAGGGAGGGAGGGAGAGAGGUACUCACAAGUUUGGUCUGUGUACAAAUAGACUUCGGAAUAACUACUAGGAAAUGGGGAGCUUUAAGAUGUGUUUUUGAAGAGAAGUCAUGAAUUUUCCGGUGAAAAGAAGCCAUUUUUUUGAAGUUCGUCAAAAGCUUGAAGAUCUGCUUCAAAGCUUUAAAGUUGUCAGCAGAUCACUCAGCCGAGCUCCAGUUUAUGGACUAGCAAGAAGAAGGUAGACUGGCAAACUAAUUAAGUGCUUGAAGAAUUAAAUGCUCAGUCCACCAACUCAAUCGUUAUUAAUUCAGUUCACAACUUAAUGCUUGUUCUUGAAGUCAUUGUAGUGCAGUGGUACAUGAAUGCAUUAAUGUGUCUGUACAUGUAUACUCUGACUCUAACUACCAAAUCCAAAUCCCUCAUAUUAAUGAGAAAUAUUAAUUGGGAACAGGAUUACUUAGGCGUCCUAGUACAAUAAUGUCUUACCAUACCCAAAUCCCCCAUUAUUAAUGAGAAAUAUUAAUUGGGAACAUGAUUACCACUACCGGGCGUCCUAAUUCAAUAAUUUCAUACCGAGCUUAAGUUUUUUCUAAGUUAUAACAGUAAAAAAAGAUAACCACUAAUUGUUUCCAAUCAAAAUGCCAAAUCUUAUGUGGCAUGACAUGAAAUGGCAGCAAAGAGACUUGCUGUCAAACUUCAAUUUUUUUUUACUAAUUAUUAAAUGUCUUUUAUUAAUAUUUUAAUGUCAUUUAUUAUUUGAUUGUUGAACGGUAGAGUUGGUUUAAAACACUACCUAUUUCUUCUUUUUUAAUCAACAAAUUUGUUUCAAUUUAAGCAGUUGAUUGUUGAACGGUAGAGUUCAUCUAAAACACUACCUAUUUCUUCUUUUUUUAAUCAGCAAAUUUGUUUUAAUAUAAGCAACAUUGCUGCUUUGUAAAAUACAGUGAUUCGUUCUUCAAUAGGUAUCCUUCGUUAUUUUGUGAACAUGCCCCAAAUUUUUUCAGACUCAUCUUCUAAUUCAACAUAUGAGCAUUUUUGGAGUAUUGUUAAUUCUGAAUUUGAUGAAUAACUGGAAAGGCUGGAAUUGGUUGCUUUACAAAAUGAACAAGAGAACAUGGAGACAUGAAUGAGAAAACGGCGUGGCUCCAUAAAAGGCAAUGCAUAUAUCAAUAGAAAGUAGUGCAGAAUAUGAUAGGCUAGAGUGCCAAUAGUGGCAACCUUUUAGAAAGAGUGCGGCUAUACACACUUGCCUAUUGUAUUUUUUUCACGAUCUUAUAGUUACAAAAUUUGUAAGCAGUUUUAGGCCCCGUUUGGGAUUGAGGUGAUUUUAAAAAAAGCCACUGUGAAAAAAAGCUGAUGGUCAUUUUUGUGUUUGGUAAACUGAAAAAAAAGGGGCUUAUUUUGGAAGCUGCUGUGAGAAUAAGCUGAAAAUCAAAGGAAAAGCUGAAGCUGCUAUUUGCUGCUUUGAAAAAAAGCCAUUUUUUUCAAAGCACACGGAGCUACAGUGCUCCUUUAAUGAAAAGACACACUAUCAUCCUGCUUUUUUUUUCAAAAGCACUUUCACAAAAAAGUUUACCAAACACUUUACUGGCUUUAUUUCACAGCCGCUUAUUCUAACAGCACAGCCGCUUAUUCUCACAGCAGCUUUUUUUCAAAGCACAGCAAUACCAAACCAGCCCUUAGUGCCCUUGCACUUGCCUUGCCCUUGUCCUCCAAAAAAUCACUUCCAACAGUCCGUUUGGUGAAGGGCAAUUGGUGGGCCAACACAUGCCUGUCCAAAAGCCCGAGUAGCUUGAGCUCGGCCUUGUGCUAGUGGUCAAGGUUGACGUCAACAUGGUGUCAGCCACAUUUUUUUUUUUGUGUGUUUGACGCGUGAUGAGAGAUAGUGGGCUGAUUGUUGCUACUGUCAUGGCCCCCAAGCUAUCAAAGCAACUCAGCUCCCCAACAGCUAUACACGUGGCAUUUAUGAGCAGUUGGAUUUGAAACGGUCUCAAGAUUCAAUAACUAAAAUUAAUCUUGUUCAAAAUUUUAUUUAAUAAUUUAAAAUUUUGAAUAAAGGUUUUAAAAAAUUAUAGAAAUUAAUGAAAAUUCAUAAAUAAAUAUAUUUAAAAAUACAAAAAUAUUAUAUAUUUUUCUAAAGACACCCAACCAUCUUCUUCACUACCAUAUCAAAAAUCUAACGCUUUCGCUAGUUAUUAAAUAACUUAAUUAUGCUUUAAAAUUAAAAAAAAAUACAUUUGUAAGUAUGAAUCGUCCUUGUCCUUACUUUUAGCUCAACGGGUGGACUUACACAAAGGUAAUCACUUUUCAAAAGGCAAUUUACAUGCCCUUACCCUUGCUUAGCCCUUGCCCUCUUAAGAGCAAGUCCACUGUUUGCCCAAGUGACAAGGCAAUUGGGUUGAAUUGCCUUUGGCUGCAAAAGGUGGUCCACUGGUGUAAAAAAUGGAGGGCAUUUGGACCAAGGGCUUGUGCUUUUUUAACUACAGGAGACGAUAGAGUGGGGCCCACCCGCGUGCACAACCCAGAGUCAAAUGACUUAUUUUUCCUCCAACUUGUGCCGUUAGAUUUCCAACAGUAAAAAAAAGUUGCAAAACUUUAUGCAGCUACCAAGUGGCGCAAUUUGGGGCAUCCAAUAUAAAUAAUUUUGAUUUUGAACGGUUAAAGAUUAUUCUAAAGGUAAGCAAAUUCAAAAAAUAAACCCAAAAACUAAAACAAAAAAACAAAAAAAAAAUACCCAAAUUUUUUUUUCUAUAAGUACCCAACCAUUAUCUUCAUUUCUUGUAUUUGAAAUAUAUUAUAGAAAUCAAACAAUCAUUUUAUUUUCAAUGGUGGGCUAAAAGCCAAAUUACCCCCCAAAAUUUCCCCUCAAACCCACUCCAACCCAAGGGGAAAAUUUGGGCUAAAUGCUAAAUGUUAAAUGCUAAACCAAUGCCAGAUUCCUCCAGAAAUUUAGCCCAGAAAUUUGAAUUUAAAAUUUUCAAUAUUUAUUGGAAUUUAAAAUUUUUUAGAUUAAAAUGUUCAUAAAAUUAAUUUACGAUAGUCUACAUAUUUAUUUAUUUUUUUAAAAUUUAAUUUAACAAAAAAAAUAGUCUAAGUUCAUUUUUUAAUAAUCUUAGGCUAAAAUUUUAGGCUAAAAAGGUUGGAGCAAAAAAGCUGUUUCUGGAUUAAAAGCUAAAUUUUUCGGAUUAAAAUAUUUGACUUUUAGCCCAACAUGGUCUCAUAAAACAAAUUCAUCAAAGCAUAAAAAAAAGUAAUAAAAAAUAAAAAAUAAAAUUUUGAAUACUGCCUUGCCCUUUUUGCUUUUCACAGACGGAUUGAUUUCCAAAAGGACAAUUACUAUUUUUAAAAAAAUGAGGAAAAUGACGAAAGGCUCAAUGGCAUUUGAACUUCCACGUUGCACCUGACAUGCGAAGCCACGUAAACUUUGCCCCUCUGAAAACUUUGCCUGCCCAUAUUCACAAAGAAGCCAUUCUCACAUCCCCAGCCCACCCCAGCCCACAUCCCAGACUAGCCGAAAGGGCAUCUCGUGUAAUUCCCAUGAACUUAAAGGUCAAGGUAAUUUUAGCUUUCACUAAAUAGUCACCCGGAUACGAAGGCUAAACUAACAGUUUGUCAUUCAUGGCGCUUCUGUUUCCCGGCGGUGGUUGGUGCGUACGACUACGAGUAGGCCACUCGUCGCGGCCGGCGCACGUUAGACCGAGCUUUGUUACCUUUGCUACAGUGUCCCCAAGGACCCCAGCCAAAGGCGACAGAGUGGACUGGGUGGAAGCAACUUCAGGCUUCUUUGAAAAUGACACGAGGCCCAUCAUGUUGUUCGACGGUAAUAACGAUUCAUUUUAGCACUUACCGUACUCGUCAUGCUACUUUGCGCUUGGUGUAGAAACAGUACUUUAUGGCUUGUGUAUUUGUUUAAGAAUCCAUCUUGUUUGUGUUGUGCAAUAUGGGAUUAGCUAAUUGAGACUGGCUUUCUAGGUUACAUAUUUGAUAUGUGAUAGGUCAACUUUUUUCUUUUCUUGAUAAAGAUUUAUUGUAAGCCAUUCUAAUUUGCGGGGAGCGGAAUUCAAACUUGGGUGCAACAGAGUGGGGACACUACACAGACUAACUGGUCUAACCUACGUCACGUCUGUAUAAUAAGUCACGUUUAGAAUAAGUUGCAAAGGAAAAUACAAAUAUAUUUUUGUCCAUCUUGUAGUUUUACUCCAUGGAAGAUAGUGAAUGAGGCUAGAACAUCAUAAUAUGUUACGUAUUUCUGUAAUUCUUAAUAUGGUUAUGUUCUAAACUACUAUGUUUUAGAGUUUAGUUGGAUUCGUUGGUGCAGAACGUGAGCACCAGGCGAAUUCUGCAGUUGUGUUACAGAUACAAUGAAAACUCAUGAUCGUUGAUUUUUUUACAGGUGUUUGUAACUUGUGUAAUGGAGGUGUAAAGUUCGUGCGGGAUAAUGAUCGAAAUAGGUUCGAUUCUCCUCUUCCUUUGAUUGUUUGUAGACUCUAUUAUGAUCAUCGUUAAGGCAACAAGAUUAUAUUUAGUAGGGAAAACAAUGAUCUCUUUUCUUCAUAUAUAUAAUCCUUAAGUUUGAAGAGUGCAAAUUAUUUGGUAUCUUAUGAGGUUUAUCUUCAAUCUUCUACUCGUGUUGUUAUUGUUUAAUCCACUUCUGACAGGAGCAUAAGGUUUGAAGCUCUCCAGAGUGAAGCAGGGAAGAAACUGCUCAGAAGGUCCGGAAGAGCUCCUGAUGAUAUUUCAAGUGUUGUUCUUGUUGAAAAGGAUAGGUAUAUACAAUGACCUCAUUGCUAAUCUGGAGCGGUUUUUAACAAUUAUCAAGGUUUUGAUGAAUGAUAACAUUUUUCUCGUUUACAUGAACUUUUCUCAUAUUAAUGACGUUCUCGUUAGUGUUAUGGUCUCUCAGUUUGACAAUACUAACCGAUAAUUUAUACGAGUAACAUUGAUAACUGACAUGGUGAAUUUGAGAAUUUCAGAUCAUUUAUCAAGUCAGAAGCUGUUGUGAAGAUAAUGGAAUAUAUAGACUUGCCCUUCCCCCAGCUAGCGUUUUUUGCACAGUUUAUACCUCUGUAAGUCAUCCCCUCUUUGUUCUUUAUAAUUUUUGCCUGUCAAGAUUCAAACUGAUGGACGAUGCCAUGGUAAUACACUAUGUCCAUAAUUGAUAAUUUUUUUUUCUUCUUCCGGAUGAAUGCAGUUUUGUAAGGGAUUUUCUAUACGACAAUGUAGCAAACAACCGUUACACAAUCUUUGGUCGCUCAGACACGUGUGAGAUAUAGGCAUUUGAAUACUUAAGUUUCCUACUGAAGGUAUGUAUAUUGUAAAGUACGGAUAUGAUGAAUUUUGAUUUUGUAAUGUAAGUUUGACUUCCAUUUUAAUAGAAUGAAAAUUUAUCUAAUUUGUUUUAAAAGUUUCUUACUAUAUAGCUUCAUAUUAACACGACGUCUAGAAGUACAGUUUGCAUGUGAAUUGGAGGCUAAGCUGCCUUCCUUCAACAGUCCUUGGGUUGAUUAAUCAAAAUGUAGAAAAAUUCUGAAACAGAAAUUACAGAACUCAUCUACAUUGCUACCUCGAUUAAAAUAUAACAUAGCAUUGCCUUCAUCUCCAUCUCCUUAUCCUAGAAGACUCCCUGCUGUCCUUGCUUAUAUUCCGUUCCUCUUCUGUAUGUGCUAAAAUCACUUUGUUAAUCCUGUUUUUGAGGUCAAGUGCACUACCAUGAACACCCGCAAGUGUGUUUUGAGUAUAUGAUCAUAUAUGUUUGUGGGGAUACCGUAUACGUAUUAAGUCAUUCUGACAGCCCUGUGUUACCAUCUUGAAAUUUAGCUUAAAACUCACUAUGCUCAUUCACAGACAAAAACAAUUUCUAGCAAAGACUUACCAACAAAAGUGUCAUAAUUUGUUAUUGAUAAGAAAGUAUGUAUGUGUGUGUGUGUGUAUAUAUAUAUUUGUAAUGUUUGAGCCUCAUGAACUUAUAAAGCGAUUAUUUAGCGUUUUUCUUAUAACAUGUCAAACCAUGUUCGAAAUGUAGUAGCUUCUAGUCUGGUUUGUGAGAUAUAUUCAUUUCGUACAUAUACAUACAUACAUUUACAUCUGAACAUUCACAAAUAUACAUCCGAAUGUCAGCAAGUUAAUUAGAUGCACUUUAGAUAUGCAUGUCUCUCUUUUUUCUGAUAUACGGAAGUAUAGUUUAUGGUGUGCCUUGUUUUUCCGUCGUGUAGAGGAGGUGGUGUUAUACCUGCAAUUCUUGAGUAGGCAGUUGAGCUCUCUAGAUUAUUCGUUUGAUUUCUAGAACUUAAGGUAGAUUUUUCAGUGCCGGAGGACCGUAUAGCUUACCAAAGCCGUAUGUGUAUCUGCAAUGGAUGAGAAAGGUGAAAUGUUAAUCAGGGACUGGAGGUUGCUUGAUUUUGAUUUGUAUUUAAUAGUAAAUUUCUGAAAGGAAAGAAUCAAAUUACUAACUUACCCAAGAACUAAGAAAACAAAAGCAGUGAUCCCUAGCACAUACUGAUAGAACUUGUGCCUAGAUUUACGUCUUCCCUCGUAGGUUGAUGGAAGGUGCCUGCUGCUUAUAUAACCAUACUGUGGACGAACUAGAAUAACAAAGCCAAGGAAAAAUCCUGCAAGGAAUCCUCCUAUAUGAGCUGAACUGUCCACUUUAGGUAUAAACCCAACAGCCAUAUUCACGGCAAUGACAACCAUGAGUAUCAGGAGCGCUGUGCACUGAAUAGCAAAGUUAGAUCUUAGACGUAUCCCUCAUCGAUUUGAGCCUCAGCAUUAAAAGCUGUUGUAUUUUAGAUGCCGGCAUAGCUGGGGUUCUUUAAAAGAAAAGAAAGGUUACCUUAUUCACGUAGAUUGUCCAGUUUAUUAGAAGCUCGGAAAGCAUGGCUCCCAGCAAUCCAAAAAGUGCUCCAGAUGCACCAACUGAGAUAGUUGGGCUUGCGGUUCUCAUGCGAUGUAGAGUCGAUCCUAAACUUCCUCCUAUUCCAGCAAGCAGAUACAGGAACCCUAUUCUGACUGCCAAAUCAAAACAGUUAAGAAUAGUUAGCAUGCAUUAAUCAUGUAAAAACCGAGUUGACAUCUCCUGAAUCUUAAGUUCUUACUAAAUCCGAAUUCCUGCUCAAGCCUUAUUCCUAUGAAUAGAAGGCUCAGCAUAUUGAAGAGCAAGUGAACGACUCCAGCAUGAAGCCACAUGCAAGACAAGAGGCGCCAUCCUUCGCCCCCUUCCACCACUAAUUGCAGUUCAAGGGCUCCUAGUUUCUUUAGACUGCAAACAUUAGCAAUUAGAUUAGGUUUUAACAUGACCGUUCAAGAAGUUAUAGCUUAACGUAUGCCUAGUUCAGUUAAGAAUGAUUUCCAAGUUGGCACAGCAAUCGGACACAUUUCCUUGUUUGACUUUGGGGUCCGAAAGACACUGCCUCCUGCAUUUUGGGGUAGCAUAGAUUCAUAGGAAGGGACAUUGUUGCUAAGACCUAGAGCAUUUUGGGGUAGCGUAGAUUCAUAGGAAGGGACAUUGUUGCUAAGACCUAGAGGACGGGAGAAUGCGACUACCCUGGAAUCUUAUGUUGGCUAUGGCGCUCGAUAGAUUAGGGUACUUAAGCAAGACAUAAGAAUCCGAAUAUCAAUUGGUGCUUAAGCAAGAGGUAAGAGCAAGUAUGCUAUACAGAACAAAACAUAGUAUUGAAGGUAUCUUCUUUGUUCAAAUUAAUCAUGUUUUAGUCUUAAUCGAAUUCUGUAAUUAGUUCUUGUUUCUGUAAUCCAAAACUAUCUCAAUUGCAGAAGAUUAGACGCAGGAGUUGAAUUAGUUUUAUGCAAGAAAACAAAAUAAAAAAUAAGAGACAAAAAGUAGAAAUCAUUGGGAGAGGUAGGAGGAGAUUCUUACGUAAGUGCGGCAGGACCAAGAAGAGGGUUUUCUCUGAAGGGUUGGAAAGAGAACCUCUUAAAGAAAGGAAAAAGACACUUUUCCCCUGUAGUUGGACAGUCAUUGACGUACAUCGUGUACACGAACAUGGCAACAUUGACGACAAACACGAUUGGCAUGAGCCACGGCACCCAUGGCUUAGGAGGAGGGGGGCACAAAUGGGGCGGGGGCAUGGAAUGCCGAGACUUUUGUCUCUUUUCGCGCCCCUUCUCCAUGUCUUCGGAGGAUGGCGGUCUCUCCCCCAUUUUUUCCGGCCACGGGGGGUGGUAGAGGAAGAGGAAGAGGAAGAGGUAGAGGCGCACACUGCACCGGCGCUUUUGGCAGAUGCUAAUGUGCACCACCAAGUUACAGGGAGGACUAAAAUGAGAGAUAUUGGCACUGGGUGGCAAGGAACGAGUUUGGCUAGGUUGGUAGUUAAGUUUGGUACUCUCCUUGAUUAUAGAUAUCUGGAAAUUACUUUAUGGCCCUGCUAUGUUAUGACCUCUAUUCUUUAACAAAAAAACAAACAGACAGAAAAAUAAAAAUUCAUUUUUUGCCAAAAAUAAAUAAGAUUGGUACUGUAUAAAAGGUUCAACUUAAUAACCAAUUCAAUGUUGAAAGUUGCUUUAGUUUAGUUUGCUAAUUAAGAAAAUAAACAUAGUUCGAGUUGGAAUUAGGACAUAUUAGUAACGAUCAAGACACGUAGGGAUAUAAUUAGGCAAUAACAUUAGGGGCUAUGAGUACUUUGGGGGCUCAACAGAAAUAAGUUAUCCCAUUGCAGAUUCCCUUGUUACAUUUAGAAACUGUGGUAGAAACACCAGCCUGUAGUAGUUUUGUAUUUGUUACAGGACUCAGCUAAUCAGCCAUUGCUUCUACACAGUGUUUAAAAUAUCGGUAUUAGUGGAAAUGUUGAACGCAAAUUUGUGGAAAUAUUGAUGCAUAAUCGAAUAUCAAUAUCGAUAUUGGUUGCUUUUAAUUGAAAUGAUGAAAUAUUAAAAUGAAACUUUAGCUACUGUCAAACAUUGGUUUUGACGAAAUAUACGAGUUUCUUCGAUAUUUAACAUAUAUGUAAGAAAUAUCCACGAUAUAUGUCGAUUUAGCCUAAACUUAAAAGAGUUUCUCCGAUAUGAGGUGAAGUUUAGGCUUCACCUCCAUUUCCAUAUCUUUCUCUAUUUUUUUCGAAUCCUUAUGAAAAUGAAUCUAGAACGAAAUCACGCUAAAACUAGGGCUUCACCCGUAAGUGGCGCGCUGUGUGGCCCGAGCAUAGUGAUAAGUGAGCAAGGGUCGUUGUAUCUCCAUCGACACCCGGAUGCAGUGUUAAAUGAGCAAGGGGGGCAUAGAAACUUCUUUUCGAACGACUCCACUCAAAGUUGUUUGGGAGCAUAUGCUCCUAUCAACUUUACACAGGACACACAAAAGAAGUACUUUGAUCCUAUUGGACGGGGGAGGGUGAAGAAGCUAGGACAGAAGGGUAGAGCUCAAGAGAGUAGAAUGCGUUUAGGAAUGUGGAAUAUAGGAACCUUAACGGGGAAAAUCUAUGGAAGUAGUGGAAGUUAUGGUGAGGAGAAGGAUAAAUAUUAUGUGCCUACAAGAAACUAAGUGGGUUGGUCUUAAGGCAAAGGAUCUAGAAAACUCAGGGUUUAAACUUUGGUAUUCGGGCACAAAUAGAAUGAGAAACUGUGUUGGCAUCAUUGUGGACAAGACCUUGACACAAGAUGUUGUAGAUGUCAAGAGGGUAGGAGAUAGAAUCAUGGCAAUCAAGAUUGUAAUAGGACAAGAACUCAUCAAUGUGAUUAGUGCGUACGCACCUCAAGUAGGGUUGGAUACAAGUUCGAAGGAGAAAUUUUGGGAAGACCUUGGAGACUUGGUGCAAGGAAUUGCCCAAACGGAGAAGUUAUUUAUAGAGGAGAUUUAAAUGGACACGUGGGUAGGGAGACAGGCAACUAUGGAGGUUUUCAUGGUGGCCAUGGUUUUGGGGAGAGAAACGAGGAUGGGGAAGCUAUCUUGGAUUUUGCAAUGGCAUAUGAUCUCUUCUUAGCCAACACCUUCUUUAAGAAGAGAGAAGAACAUGUGAUCACCUACAAGAGUGGGUCGUCAAAAACACAAAUAGAUUUUCUUCUAAUGAGGAAAGGGGAUCGUAUAACUUGUAAGGAUUGCAAAGUUAUACAUGGAGAGAGCUUGGCUAAUCAACAUCGCUUGUUGGUGAUUGAUGUACAUAUCAAAAGAGUGAGAAAAAAGAACAAGACUUGGAAGUGCCCAAGGACUAGAUGGUGGAAUUUAAAAGGAGAAAAACAAGUCAUUUUCAAAGAGAAAGUAAUCACCUAGUAUGGGUGGGAUAGAGAGGGGGAAGUUAGCCAAAGGUGGGAUUCCAUGGCUAGUUGUAUCCGAAAAGUAGCAAAAGAGGUAUUAGGAGAGUCCAAGGGCUCUGCUCCACACCAAAAGGAAUCUUGGUGGUGGAAUGAGGAGGUACAAACAAAGGUGAAGGCUAAGAAAGAAUGUUGUAAAGCCUUAUACAAGGACAUGACCGAUGAAAAUGGUGAAAGGUAUAGAAGAGCGAAGCAAGAGGCGAAGAAAGCUGUGAGAUAAGCUAAGUUAACGGCUUAUGACGACAUGUAUAAGCGACUAGAUACCAAAGAAGGAGAGUUGGAUAUCUAUAAACUAGCUAGAGUAAGGGAAAAGAAGAGAAGUGACCUAAACCAAGUGAGGUGCAUCAAGGAUGAGGAUGGAAAGGUUUUUGCUACAGAGAAUACAAUCAAAGACAAAUGGAGAGGUUAUUUUCAUAAUCUUUUCAAUGAAGGACAUGAAAGGAGUACUUCUUUAGGGGAGUUGAGUAACUCAGAAGAGUAGAAACUACUCCUUUUAUCGUCAAAUCAGGAAGGAAGAAGUGGCUGUAGCUUUGAAGAAGAUGAAGCAUAGAAAAGCAGUGGGCCCAGACGAUAUACCGAUCGAAGUGUGGAAAAUCUUGGGAGAGACAGGUAUAGCAUGGCUCACUAACCUUUUCAAUAGGAUUUUGAAAACGAAGAAAAUGCCAAAUGAGUGGCAAAAGAACACUUUGGUGCCUAUCUACAAGAAUAAGGGUGACGUACAAAAUUGCAUGAACUAUAGGGGUAUUAAGCUAAUGAGUCAUACAAUGAAGCUCUAGGAGAGAGUCAUUGAGCAUAGAUUGAGGCAAGAGACACGGGUUUCGGACAACCAAUUCGGGUUCAUGCCAGGGCGUUCAACCAUGGAGGCAAUCUAUCUCUUACGAAGAUUGAUGGAAAGAUAUAGAGAUGGGAAAAGGAUUUACACAUGGCCUUUAUAGAUUUGGAAAAAGCGUAUGAUAGGGUCCCAAAAGACAUUCUUUGGAGGAUUUUAGAGAAGAAAGGAGUACGAGUAACAUAUAUCCAAGCUAUAAAGGAUAUGUAUGAAGGAGCAAAGACUGCCGUAAGAACUCAUGAAGGACAAACCGAAAGCUUCCCCAUAACUGUAGGAUUACAUCAAGGCUCAUCCUUAAGUCCUUACCUUUUUGCGUUGGUAAUGGAUGAGUUAACAGGACAUAUUCAAGAUGAUAUUCCUUGGUGUAUGCUUUUCGCAGACGAUAUAGUGUUGAUAGAUGAAAAUCAGGAAGGGGUAAAUGUAAAGCUUAACCUUUGGAGAGAAGUGUUGGAAUCUAAAGGUCUUCGCCUAAGCCAAUCAAAGACAGAAUUUAUGGAGUGCAAGUUCAAUGCAAAUAGAGGCCAAAAUGAGUUAGGGGUGAGGAUCGGAGAUCAGGAAAUACCAAAGAGCGAUCGUUUUCGCUACUUAGGAUCUAUCUUGCAAAAGAACGGAGAAUUAGAUGGAGAUCUCAACCAUAGAAUACAAGUUGGAUGGAUGAAGUGGAAGAGUGCAUCCGGCGUGUUGUGUGACCGCCGUAUGCCACUGAAGCUUAAGGGAAAAUUUUAUAGGAUGGCAAUAAAGCCGGCGAUGCUGUAUGGCACAGAAUGUUGGACGGUGAAGCAUCAACACAUACACAAAAUGGGUGUAGCGGAGAUGAGGAUGCUUCGUUGGAUGUGUGGGCACACGAGAAAUGAUAAGAUUAGGAAUGAGGAUAUCUGAGGUAAAGUAGGAGUAGCCGAAAUUGUAGGAAAAUUGAGAGAAAAUCGAUUACGGUGGUUUGGACAUGUGCAAAGAAAGCCUACUGACGCUCCGGUUAGAAGAUGCGACUACGGGACAGAGGUUCAGGGCCGAAGGGGUAGAGGAAGACCUAGGAAAACUUUGGAAGAGACUCUAAGAAAAUACUUAAGAGUAUUUGGAUCUAACGGAGGACAUGACACAGGACCGAGCACAAUGGCGUUCUAAGAUUCAUAUAGCCGACCUCACUCAGUGAAGAAGGCUUUGGUGUAUUUAACACAAUACGUUGAAAUGAAGCAAAGCUUAUUUAUUGAUAUCUCUGAUAAGUUACAAAUAUGUACAUAUACAUGAGUCAAAAUAAACAAACAAGAGGGAGCCUUCACAAAGGUUGCUUCGGAGAAGUCUCAGCAGUCGGUAGAGCCCCAGAAAGAGAAGGCACCGGAGGGGGAUCAUUUGGAGCCUCAGUACUGGACAGAACCCUAGAAGGAGGAGACAUCAGAGGUUGAUCAUUUGGAGCUUCAUUACGCGGUACAGCCCCAGAAGACGAAGACAAUAAAUGCCUUUGGAACAAACCCACAAACCGCUGAUGAUCAAGUAAAACCUGACCAUCAGAUUCCUUCAUCUGGUCAAGCUUCCUCCUCAUGUUUGUAGCAUAGUCAUGUGUGAGCCGGUGCAACUGUUUAUUCUCAUGCUUGAGCCCUCUAAUCUUCUGUUUGAGACUCAUCACUUCAGCCGCCAAUGAUUCAACUUGGCGGGUUCGAGCAAAUAGGCGUUGGGCCAUAUUAGACACAGAAUCUGCACAUUGAACACUUAGAGCCAGAUAAUCCUUAACAGCCAACUCAUCAGACCGUUUGGAAAGUAGUCUGUUAUCUUUGGGAGUGAGAAGGUUCCUCGCCACCACCGCAGCAGUCAUAUCAUUCUUCAUCACGGAAUCCUUAACGGUAAGAGGACCAGUAGGGGAUAAGAAAGAUGGGCGCCAUAUGUUGUCUGGAAAAGGCGUGGCUACCUCUUCAACAAGGUUCAAGUCAAAACGACAGUCGGAGGGGCUAGACAUUUUCAGAGGUGUUGAAGAGAGAAAAUGUUGGACAAAUCAAGAUCUUAUAAGUGCAAGAAUGGAACUUUUACUGGUGAAGAUUCAAGUGUGCUUUGGAAUUUAAUGCCAGCCUCUAUAAAAAUUUGCACUCGACGGAGCUUAAGAAAUCGAAGAGGCGUCUGCCCAGAAAUCGAAGAGGCAUUUGCUUUCUCAAAAGCUGGGCUGCUCAGAGACCACGAGGGCCGAUCUUAGAAAUCGAAGAGGCGUUUACUUUCUCAAAAGUUGGGCUGCUCAAAGACCACGAAGGCCGAUCUCAGAAAUCGAAGAGGCACUUGCUUUCUCAAAAGCUAGGUUGCUCAGAGACCACGAGGGCCGAUAUCAGAAAUCGAAGAGGCACUUGCUUUUCUCAGCCUUGUCAGCACCUGUCAUAUGCACACUCAGCUUUGCUGAAAUUACGGGCAUUCUGUUGAAGAUUUCUGGUGAAGUAGAAAGCACAUGAAUCUUACUGUUUAAUCAUCCACUUUCCACACGCACCAUCAGCUCAUGGGUACCACAUAUAACUUUGCCAAAGAUCUCUAACAAAGUUUAGACACGUGAAACUUGCAGCUCCCACUACAUCGUUAUGACAAAGAAUGGCAAAAGAAUAAUAAAGAAACAGCACUAACAAAGUUUUGACACAUAAAUUUUGAAGGUCUAGCUACUAUAUUAUUACCCACAAGAGUAAAGGAACAACACCACUGUUGGAUAAUUGGAAAGUCCCUAUGUGUCAACCUUUGUGCUCCAUGGCAAGGUAGACUAGCAAACAUGCCCAACCUUUACUCACAUUCGAGAAAACACUUCCAACAAGAUUGCUUGCUCCAAAAUCGAAGAGGCACCGUCCUCCGAAUCUCGAGAGCCAGACUCCCAACAUGAUUACUUUCUCAAAAAUCGAAGAGACACUGCUCUCCGAAUCUCGAGAGCCAGACUCCCAGCAGGAUUGCUCUCUAAAAAAUCGAAGAGGUACCGUUCUCCGAAUCUUGAGAGCCAGAUCCCCGAUAGGAUUGCUUGUUCGAAAACCGAAGAGGCACCGCUUUCUCAACUUCGAGAGUCAGAUCUCAUUGGAUAAAGCUUGUCUGUAAUCUUCACACGCAACAUCAGCUUUCCAGAUACCACAGACCACUUUUUCAAAGUGAUCUGACACACGUGAAGCUGGCAGCUCCCAUUACCGUGCUAUGACCAAGCAGGGUAAAUGAAUAGCAUUACUAGUUGUUGUUAGGGAAACUCCUAUAUAUGUCGACCUCCAUCCUCAAUGGACAGGCAGACCUGCAAAAAUGCUCAACCCUUCCUCAUAUCUAAAAGGGCACUCCCAACGAAGCCUCUCGAAAUACUCAGCUUUCUUUCCCCCCGAUAAUCCACCUGCAAACAAGCUACACCAGAGCAAGAAUAUCUCAUAUCAUCAGGGUUAAAAGCAAGAGUAUCUCAUAUCAUGCUUUUUCCCUGUCUUUUCCUUUGGCCUUGUUCUUACCUGCAAGACAAAGAGAAAGAGAGCAAUCAGUCAGCACUUGCAAUCAAGCUUCUAAUCAGGAACUGACUGCCUGUAACCCCUUACCUGAUUACUUACCUGGCAUUGCUCUCGAGUACUCAUCUUCAACAUCUUAUGCUUCUAGAGAAGAUACCACAUCUGCCUGAGGAACAGAUAGGGAAAGUGAGAAUGAUACAAGGAAGCAUGUAGAGACAAGCGUAAAAGAACACGUGCCGAUACAUCCACUACUUUGUCAACAGCAAAAGUAUCACAUAUCAGCAGGGUCGAACGUAUUCUAGAUUUGAUGGACUUGUUUUAACCCUCAAAUUCUUCAGUCAGCCUUAUACUCUGGAGGGAACCAGAAAAUCCUCCAGCCCAGUUCAAGAAUAAGCCUGUGGAAAGUUACUUCUUCAAAAGCAAAAGUAUCUCAUAUCAUCUACUCUCAUUUUCUUCUCUUUAUCCUUCAUGCUGCCUGCAAGAUAGGGAGAAUGAGAACAAUCAGCCGGAACUCGAAAUCAAACUUCUGAUCUGGGACUGAUUGCUGGGAGCUCUGAUUGCUUACCUUGUCUGUCGCCUCUUUCAGCAGAUCCCCUAGCUCGGCGACUUGGGGGACUCCUACUACAUGGUUUGUAUCGCGCUUGACCAAGCCUGAAACUACAAGUAAGCUUCAAGUGAAAUUGAUACAUUACCUUGUGCAUCUCCACCAGUUAAAGAUACCACCCCUGGAUAGAGGAAGAGUACUUCCAAAGAAGAUGCCACAUCUACCUAUGAGACAGAUAAGGCAAGUGAAGACGAGAGCUUGAACCUAUGUCAUUUGUACUAAAUCAUUCACUUGUACUCACUAAAGAAGAGCUUGAACCUAUGUACUUGUGUAAACCCUUCACAAUUAAUGAGAACUCCUCUACUCGGUGGACGUAGCCAAUCUGGGUGAACCACGUACAUCUUGUGUUUGCUUUCCUGUCUCUAUCCAUUUACAUACUUAUCCACACUAAUGACCAGAGCAAUCUAGCGAAGAUCACAAACUUAAUAUUUUCUAUUGUACCAAAGUCCUCAUUGAUUUUGUGCAUCAACAAUCCUUAAGUCCUUACCUUUUUGCGUUGGUAAUGGAUGAGUUAACAGGACAUAUUCAAGAUAAUAUUCCUUGGUGUAUGCUUUUCGCAAACGAUAUAGUGUUGAUCGAUGAAACUCAAGAGGGGUAAAUGCGAAGCUUAACCUUUGGAGAGAAGUGUUGGAAUCUAAAGGUCUUCGCCUAAGCCGAUCAAAGACAAAAUAUAUGGAGUGCAAGUUCAGUGCAAAUUGAGGCCAAAAUGAGUUAGGGGUGAGGAUCGGAGAUCAGGAAAUACCAAAGAGCGACCGUUUUUGCUACCUAGGAUCUAUCUUGCAAAAGAACGGAGAAUUAAAUGGAGAUCUCAACCAUAGAAUACAAGCUGGAUGGAUGAAGUGGAAGAGUGCAUCUGGCGUGUUGUGUGACUGUCGUAGGGGCAAUAAGGUCGGUGAUACUGUAUGGCACAGAAUGUUGGGCGGUGAAGCAUCAACACGUACACAAAAUGAGUUUGGACAUGUGCAAAGAAGGCCUACUAACGCUCCGGUUCGAAGAUGUGACUACGGGAUAGAGGUUCAGGGCCGAAGGGGUAGAGGAAGACUUAGGAAAACUUUGGAAAAUACCCUAAGAAAAGACUUAGAGUACUUGGAUCUAACGGAGGACAUGACACAAAACCGAGCGCAAUGGCGUUCUAGGAUUCAUAUAGCC
This 31304-nucleotide long non-coding RNA is filed under the name Malus domestica (apple). RNAcentral describes it as "long non-coding RNA (MDOM_LNC018190)". Lineage: Eukaryota; Viridiplantae; Streptophyta; Magnoliopsida; Rosales; Rosaceae. The record is from RNAcentral.